RNAcentral lists this ribosomal RNA (718 nucleotides) under bacterium. Its description in RNAcentral is "bacterial SSU rRNA". It matches the Rfam family "Bacterial small subunit ribosomal RNA", at positions 29 to 732 of the family's 1533-position model. The record is from RNAcentral.
GGGAAGGGCGGGUGCCUAAUACAUGCAAGUCGAGCGGACAGAAGGGAGCUUGCUCCCGGAUGUUAGCGGCGGACGGGAGAGUAACACGUGGGUAACCUGCCUGUAAGACUGGGAUAACUCCGGGAAACCGGAGCUAAUACCGGAUAGUUCCUUGAACCGCAUGGUUCAAGGAUGAAAGACGGUUUCGGCUGUCACUUACAGAUGGACCCGCGGCGCAUUAGCUAGUUGGUGAGGUAACGGCUCACCAAGGCGACGAUGCGUAGCCGACCUGAGAGGGUGAUCGGCCACACUGGGACUGAGACACGGCCCAGACUCCUACGGGAGGCAGCAGUAGGGAAUCUUCCGCAAUGGACGAAAGUCUGACGGAGCAACGCCGCGUGAGUGAUGAAGGUUUUCGGAUCGUAAAGCUCUGUUGUUAGGGAAGAACAAGUGCAAGAGUAACUGCUUGCACCUUGACGGUACCUAACCAGAAAGCCACGGCUAACUACGUGCCAGCAGCCGCGGUAAUACGUAGGUGGCAAGCGUUGUCCGGAAUUAUUGGGCGUAAAGGGCUCGCAGGCGGUUUCUUAAGUCUGAUGUGAAAGCCCCCGGCUCAACCGGGGAGGGUCAUUGGAAACUGGGAAACUUGAGUGCAGAAGAGGAGAGUGGAAUUCCACGUGUAGCGGUGAAAAUGCGCAGAGAUGUGGAGGAACACCCAUUGGCCAACGCGACUCUCUCG